Molecule: transfer RNA, 58 nt
Filed under: Drosophila iri
Lineage: Eukaryota; Metazoa; Arthropoda; Insecta; Diptera; Drosophilidae
Description: tRNA-Arg
Source: RNAcentral
GAAUAUGAAGCGAUUAAUUGCAGUUAGUUUCGACCUAACCUUAGGUAAAAUUACCCUU